GCAGCACUCCUCCAUACCUCUGCUUCAGUCCCUGCUCUGAUUUCCCUUCGUGAUGGACUUGAAGUUGUAAGGUGAAAUAAGCCCUUUCCUCCCUAACUUGCCUUUGGUCACGGUCUUUAUGAAAGCAGUAGAAAGCAAACUACAUUGCAAAGGAGAGUAAUGUAAAUAAAUAGAGCAGGGGAUUAUGCUUCUUCAUAGCUGGGCCUGUCUAAAGCAGGCAUACUGCAGUUCUAUGUGGAUGGAGGUUGUGGGUUGCAAACAGAUUCUGAGAGGGGUGUGUGCAGAGUCCCAGGUUGCUAAACUCUUCCCAUGUUUGCCUGCCUCAGCAGGUAGCAAAUGCUGCUCCUGCCUCCUGGAGUACUUGGGACCAGCAGCACCCAGCAUCAUGCACCAGCUUGGGGCACCUCCCACACGGGUGGCUUCCUCUGACUGUCCUUACGCUGCUUUCAGGCUGUGAAGCUCAAUUAACCUCCCUUUGAAGGCGAGCUGACUUGGUCACACCAUCCUAAUGAACAGGAUGUAACAGAAGUAUCACUUCUGAGCCUGCUCACAGCACACACUGACUCUGCUCGCUUGGAUCUCUGGGGCAAGUCAGGCACAUGUCAUGAGGACACAUAGAGCGGCUCUGUGAAAAGCCCCGUGAAGCAUGUGAAGCAUGAAGGGAGACCUCCUGCCAGUACCAGUGAGGCACUAAGUCCUUUCCAACAACCAUGGCAGUGGGCUGGCUUGGAGGGGCCCCUCAUGGGACAACUGGCUUGGAGGGACCCCACCUGGGACAGCCGGCUUGGAGGGGCUCCUCCUGGGACAGCCAGCUGGCAACUUAUGGCAACCUCCUGAAGAAUCCAGAAGCACUAAGGUUUUAAGUGAAUAUGGGAAAUCUCAGAUCUUGGUAAAAAUCACCUCCAGACGCAGACAAAGCCCAGAGGGCAGAGCAAGCAG
This is a long non-coding RNA of Peromyscus californicus insignis, 939 nucleotides long. RefSeq lists it as uncharacterized. Lineage: Eukaryota; Metazoa; Chordata; Mammalia; Rodentia; Cricetidae. The transcript has 3 exons. The record is from RefSeq and is a predicted model, not a curated record.